Molecule: ribosomal RNA, 569 nt
Filed under: uncultured bacterium
Lineage: Bacteria
Description: partial 16S ribosomal RNA
Rfam family: Bacterial small subunit ribosomal RNA
Source: RNAcentral
UGGGGAAUAUUGCACAAUGGGCGAAAGCCUGAUGCAGCAACGCCGCGUGAGGGACGACGGCCUUCGGGUUGUAAACCUCUUUUAGCAAGGAAGAAGCGAAAGUGACGGUACUUGCAGAAAAAGCGCCGGCUAACUACGUGCCAGCAGCCGCGGUAAUACGUAGGGCGCAAGCGUUAUCCGGAAUUAUUGGGCGUAAAGAGCUCGUAGGCGGUUUGUCGCGUCUGCUGUGAAAACCCGAGGCUCAACCUCGGGCCUGCAGUGGGUACGGGCAGACUAGAGUGCGGUAGGGGAGAUUGGAACUCCUGGUGUAGCGGUGGAAUGCGCAGAUAUCAGGAAGAACACCGAUGGCGAAGGCAGAUCUCUGGGCCGUAACUGACGCUGAGGAGCGAAAGGGUGGGGAGCAAACAGGCUUAGAUACCCUGGUAGUCCACCCCGUAAACGUUGGGAACUAGUUGUGGGGUCCAUUCCACGGAUUCCGUGACGCAGCUAACGCAUUAAGUUCCCCGCCUGGGGAGUACGGCCGCAAGGCUAAAACUUGAAAUGAAUUGACGGGGUCAUAGCUGUUUCCU